UCGAGGAUCUUCGUCAAUGGGCGCAAGCCUGAACGAGCGACGCCGCGUGCGCGAUGAAGGCCUUCGGGUUGUAAAGCGCGAAAGUGGAAAGAAAGCGAAAGUUGAUCAAUCCACAGUAAGGACGGGCUAAGUUCGUGCCAGCAGCCGCGGUAAGACGAACUGUCCAAACGUUGUUCGGAAUCACUGGGCUUAAAGGGCGCGUAGGCGGUCGGCCAAGUCAGGGGUGAAAUCCUGCAGCUUAACUGUAGAAGUGCCUUUGAUACUGGUCGUCUCGAGGGAGGUAGGGGUGUGUGGAACUCACAGUGGAGCGGUGAAAUGCGUUGAUAUUGUGAGGAACGCCGGAGGCGAAAGCGACGCACUGGACCUCUUCUAACGCUGAGGCGCGAAAGCCAGGGGAGCAAACGGGAUUAGAUACCCCCGUAGUCC
RNAcentral lists this ribosomal RNA (426 nucleotides) under uncultured bacterium. Its description in RNAcentral is "bacterial SSU rRNA". It matches the Rfam family "Bacterial small subunit ribosomal RNA", at positions 355 to 796 of the family's 1533-position model. The record is from RNAcentral.